RNAcentral lists this ribosomal RNA (470 nucleotides) under Flavobacterium sp. RHB89. RNAcentral's name for it is "bacterial SSU rRNA". It matches the Rfam family "Bacterial small subunit ribosomal RNA", at positions 8 to 480 of the family's 1533-position model. The record is from RNAcentral. Lineage: Bacteria; Pseudomonadati; Bacteroidota; Flavobacteriia; Flavobacteriales; Flavobacteriaceae.
AGAGUUUGAUCCUGGCUCAGGAUGAACGCUAGCGGCAGGCUUAACACAUGCAAGUCGAGGGGUAGGGUUCUUCGGAAUCUGAGACCGGCGCACGGGUGCGUAACGCGUAUGCAAUCUGCCUUUCACAGAGGGAUAGCCCAGAGAAAUUUGGAUUAAUACCUCAUAGCAUAAUCAAACCGCAUGGUUCGAUUAUUAAAGUCACAACGGUGAAAGAUGAGCAUGCGUCCCAUUAGCUAGUUGGUAAGGUAACGGCUUACCAAGGCAACGAUGGGUAGGGGUCCUGAGAGGGAGAUCCCCCACACUGGUACUGAGACACGGACCAGACUCCUACGGGAGGCAGCAGUGAGGAAUAUUGGUCAAUGGGCGCAAGCCUGAACCAGCCAUGCCGCGUGCAGGAUGACGGUCCUAUGGAUUGUAAACUGCUUUUGUACGGGAAGAAACACUCCGACGUGUCGGAGCUGACGGUACCG